GAUGAAGAACGUAGCGAAUCGCGAUAAGUAAUGUGAAUUGCAGAUUUUCCGUGAAUCAUCGAAUCUUUGAACGCACCUUGCGCUCCUUGGUAUUCCGAGGAGCAUGCCUGUUUGAGUGUCAUCGAAACCUCGGAUCGACGCUUCGACCCCGUCGAAGCUCGGUUCGGACUGUGGGAGUCUGCCGGCGAAGCGUGACUUCGUCGACUCUCCUCAAAAGCAUUAGCUGUGGGUGGCGAGCCUGGCAUGGCACGGCCUGUUCGACGUCGUAGUGAUCGUCGCGGGCUGGAAGUGUAUGGCUCGACGUGACCCAUGCUUCUCGAGUCUUGCGAGCCCGUCCCUCUGUGGGACGGCCGCGCCCCAUCGAAGCUUGACCUCAAAUCAGGUAGGACUACCCGCCGAACUUAAGCAUAUCAAUAAGCGGAGGA
Molecule: unclassified non-coding RNA, 425 nt
Filed under: soil metagenome
Description: partial contains 5.8S ribosomal RNA, internal transcribed spacer 2, and large subunit ribosomal RNA
Rfam family: 5.8S ribosomal RNA (bases 1-121)
Source: RNAcentral